Molecule: ribosomal RNA, 450 nt
Filed under: uncultured bacterium
Lineage: Bacteria
Description: partial 16S ribosomal RNA
Rfam family: Bacterial small subunit ribosomal RNA
Source: RNAcentral
CCUACGGGGGGCAGCAGUGGGGAAUUUUGGACAAUGGGGGCAACCCUGAUCCAGCCAUGCCGCGUGCGGGAAGAAGGCCUUCGGGUUGUAAACCGCUUUUGUCAGGGAAGAAAUCUUCCGAGCUAAUACCUUGGGAGGAUGACGGUACCUGAAGAAUAAGCACCGGCUAACUACGUGCCAGCAGCCGCGGUAAUACGUAGGGUGCAAACGUUAAUCGGAGUGACUGGGCGCGGGUCUUGAAGACGCGUGUGAAAUCCCCGGGCUUAACCUGGGAACUGCACUUGUGACUGUACGGCUGGAGUACGGCAGAGGGGGAUGGAAUUCCGCGUGUAGCAGUGAAAUGCGUAGAUAUGCGGAGGAACACCGAUGGCGAAGGCAGUCCCCUGGGCCUGUACUGACGCUCAUGCACGAAAGCGUGGGGAGCAAACAGGAUUAGAUACCCUAGUAGUC